This 231-nucleotide unclassified non-coding RNA is filed under the name uncultured Entoloma. RNAcentral's name for it is "sequence contains ITS1". Lineage: Eukaryota; Fungi; Basidiomycota; Agaricomycetes; Agaricales; Entolomataceae. The record is from RNAcentral.
UUGAAUAAACUUGGUUAGGUUGUUGCUGGCUCUUAGGAGCAUGUGCACGCCGACUCCAUUUUUAACCACCUGUGCACCUUGCGUAGAUCUGAUACUCUCGAGGAAACUCGGUUUGAGAAUUGCUGUGCAACAAAAGGCCAGCUCUUCUUGUAUUCAGGUCUAUGUUUCUACAUACCCCACAUGAAUGUAUUUUGAAUGUCGUCAUUGGCCUUGUGCCUUUAAAAACAAAUA